Transfer RNA from Monodelphis domestica (gray short-tailed opossum), 69 nucleotides. It matches the Rfam family "tRNA". Rfam says of the family: Transfer RNA (tRNA) molecules are approximately 80 nucleotides in length. Their secondary structure includes four short double-helical elements and three loops (D, anti-codon, and T loops). Further hydrogen bonds mediate the characteristic L-shaped molecular structure. tRNAs have two regions of fundamental functional importance: the anti-codon, which is responsible for specific mRNA codon recognition, and the 3' end, to which the tRNAs corresponding amino acid is attached (by aminoacyl-tRNA synthetases). tRNAs cope with the degeneracy of the genetic code in two manners: having more than one tRNA (with a specific anti-codon) for a particular amino acid; and 'wobble' base-pairing, i.e. permitting non-standard base-pairing at the 3rd anti-codon position. Lineage: Eukaryota; Metazoa; Chordata; Mammalia; Didelphimorphia; Didelphidae. The record is from Rfam.
GGUAAAAUGGCUGAGUUCAAGUAUUGAACUGUAAAUUCAAAGACAGAGAAUAGUAAUCCCUUUUUACCA